This is a long non-coding RNA of Homo sapiens (human), 570 nucleotides long. NCBI's taxonomy places the organism in Eukaryota, Metazoa, Chordata, Mammalia, Primates, Hominidae. The record is from Ensembl.
AGUACUGAGGUAGCGCUCGUCCUCCCGCCGGUCCACCACCACCGAGUGUAGCCCGGGCCCGGCCUAUUUCAUCAGACACAACCCCAGAGCCGGGAGCCACCCCUACCCCGGGAGCCCUUCGCCAAGCACGCAGCUCCAGACCAGAAGCAGUCGCUCCGACCCAGAGCUCCGGGUGGGGCAGAAGAAUCUUUUCUUGCUGCUCUCCUAGGAUCUACCAACCAGAGAUUCUAAUGUGAUACGUUUGGAAUGGAGUUAUCGAUCUGCAUUUUUAAUAGGCAUUCCUCCAGGCUUGGGUCCCAGCUCCAAAAUGUCUCAUUAUCUGUAUUUGAAUAUCCCCAAAUUUGAAAAAUUCAAAAUCUGAAACACUUCUGAUCCCAAGCAUUUCAGACUCCUAAGAGUUAAUACGAAGUAGAAAGAGAAGUUGGAGUUAAGCAGCUCGUUCCAGUUCUGAUUUUGCCAUUUCCUGUCUGAGUGACCUGAGUAAGUUAUUUAAACUUCUUUGGCCCUAACUGUCUUCAUCAGGAAAAGAGGCUGUGGUAAGAGUUAAAGAUGGUAAAAUGACAAAAUGCC